GUGCCUACGGGCGGCUGCAGUGGGGAAUAUUGGGCAAUGGGGGAAACCCUGACCCAGCGACGCCGCGUGGAGGAAGGAGCCCUUCGGGGUGUAAACUCCUGUUGUAAGGGAAGAAGACAGUGACGGUACCUUACGAGGAAGCCCCGGCAAACUACGUGCCAGCAGCCGCGGUAACACGUAGGGGGCGAGCGUUGUCCGGAAUCACUGGGCGUAAAGCGCACGCAAGCGGAUGCGCGCGUCGGCUGUGAAAGGCACCGGCUCAACCGGUGCACUGCGGUCGAUACGGCGCGUCUGGAGUGCGGGAGAGGGAAGCGGAAUUCCCGGUGUAGCGGUGAAAUGCGUAGAUAUCGGGAGGAACGCCGGUGGCGAAGGCGGCUUCCUGGCCCGCAACUGACGCUCAUGUGCGAAAGCCAGGGGAGCGAACCGGAUUAGAUACCCCGGUAGUCAAA
Molecule: ribosomal RNA, 449 nt
Filed under: uncultured Synergistaceae bacterium
Lineage: Bacteria; Thermotogati; Synergistota; Synergistia; Synergistales; Synergistaceae
Description: bacterial SSU rRNA
Rfam family: Bacterial small subunit ribosomal RNA
Source: RNAcentral